This 2668-nucleotide long non-coding RNA is filed under the name Manihot esculenta (cassava). Its description in RNAcentral is "long non-coding RNA (MESC_LNC005166)". The record is from RNAcentral. Lineage: Eukaryota; Viridiplantae; Streptophyta; Magnoliopsida; Malpighiales; Euphorbiaceae.
CCGUCAAUUAUUUUCCCUUCUCUGGGUCCCUUCAUUUAUUUUCCACAUCUUACCCGUCAGAUCCUGUUCUACUGUUUCCCUGCCAACAUACUUUUACCCAAUCCCAUUUCGUCCGCGUUCAUCUCACGCCCCUGUCACCUAUUCAGGUAGCAUUACUUCGGUAAUUAAGUGUUCAAUGAAGUUCAAUUUUAAAUUUUAAUAUUCUUUUUUAUUUAUCUGAUAAUAAAUUUAUUUUACUAAUACUGAGAUCACAUUUAAAAUUAUAAAAAUUUAAAUUUAUUUGCAAACCAUAUUUUUAAAAAAUUAACCGUUUAAAGCCUUUGUCCAAUAAAACUGUAACUAAAACUAAUUAUGCAUUAUUUUCUAAAUUUAUUUAAAAUUAAUUAUCAUUUUUGGAAAAUUAACGAGUAUUUUUUUUAAAUUUACCCUUAUUUUAAUUAAAUAUGUUAUUAUUUUUAUAAUUUCUUGAGAAUAUAUUUAGAUUUAUUUAUGUAAUUUAAUGAAAUUAAAAAUUAUUUUAAUAUAUAUAAAUAAUUUAAUUAUUUUUUUAAUCACAUUCAGAAAUUUUAAAUAACAUAUUAAAGUGAAGUAAAAAAUAAAUUAUUUAGUACACAGAUUCAAUUUGGUAGGUCCACUUGUCGUGCUUCCAUUUAAUUCUCAUCCUUCAUAUGCACGUAUCACGUAUUUAAACUCAACAUGCCACCAUGUCGGCAAUUUGUUUAUGGGAUAAUUACUUAAUUUUAUAUAUUCAUAAAAAAUAAUUUAUAUUUAAAAAAUAUUUUGUAACGACAUAAUUUAUUUAUUAUUAUUUAAUCUUAAUUUAAAAAUAAAUUUAUAUAUAAAAAUAUUAAAGUAUAAACAAGGAAAAAAUAAAAUUAUAUUUUUUUAUUAUAAAGUAAAUAUUUUUUAAAAAUAAAUGGAGCCUUGAUUUUAUAAUUUAUAAUUUAUUUUUAAUUCAAAAUUUCUCACCAUUAAUAUAUUAUGUGUAAGUUAAAUUCUUAAAAUUAAGAGAAUAAUUAUAUUAAAUAUAUUAGUAAUAAAAUAUUGAAAAUUAAUUUGAAAUAAUAUUUAAUAUAUAUAUUUAAUUUUAAAAAAUUAAUUUAAAAUAAUAUUGAAUAUUGAUCGUCUCUAGUUCGGUUCUAAUCCUGAAAGGAGAAAUUAAAUCAAAUCUGUUCUAACUCUCAGUAAAAAAGAAAAAUUAAAUCAGACCCAUAAAUUCAUACUUACCUCAUAUCUCCCUCAAAUCAUUAAUUUUAUUUAUAAUAAUAUAAUUAAAAAAUAACAUUAAUAUUUUAUAGUUAUUUUUAUUUGACUUUAUAUUUGUGUAUUUACAUAAUAUAUUAAUUAAAUAAAUCAAUAUUUAAAUAUAAAAUCAAAAUAAAAUCAUUUAAUAAUUUUAAAAAAGAAGUUUGAAGUCCCACCGCAUUUUAUAGUAGUGAAAUCACAGGUGGCACUUUAUUUAGAUAAUUGGUCUUAUAAUUUUAUAUAAAUACCACACGUAUGAUGAAAUAGUUGUAUUUAAUUAAAAUAAGGGUACAUGAUUUUACUAAUUUUCACUUUUUAAUUAAUAAUUUAAUUUAUAUUAAGUUAAUAUCUUAUAAUAAUAUAUUAUUAAUAAAUAACAAUAAUUUUUUAAUAUUUUAAAUAAAUAUUAAUAUUAUAAUUAAAAUAUAAUAUUAAUUAAAAAAAUAUAAUAUAAUUUCAAUUAUUUUUAUUUUAAAAUUUAUAAUUUAAUUUAUUUUAAAUUAAUAUUAAUAAUAUAAUUUUUAUAUUAAUAUUUUAAAUAAUAUUUAAAUAUUACCGCUAUUAAUAAUGUUAUAAUAUAAAUAUUAUUUUAAUAUAAAUUAAACUACAAAUUCUAAAAUAAAUAAUUAAUAAAAUCACAAACUAUUUUUUAUUUUAAAAUAAAUUUAUUAUUUAAUAUAUAUAUAAAUUUAUUAAUUAUUUUUUAUUUUAAAAAAAUAUAUUAAAAUAUUUAUAACUUUUGCUAAUUAAUUUAAAUUUUAAAUUUUUAUACUGUUAAAAUUAAUUAAUAAACUAUUUUUUUAAAACAUUAAAAAAAUUUUAAUGUACUUUUAAAAUUAAAAAAUUAAUUAAUAAGUUAUAAGAAAUUAAAUUAUAAUUUUUUUAAAAAAAUACUUUAAUUAAGUUAAAAUAAAUAAAAAAAUUACUAUUUAAUCUAUAAAAAUUUAUUAGUUAAUAUUUUAAUUUUAAAUAUUUAUUUUAGCCACUAAAUAUUAAAAAUAUAUAUUUUUAAUAUGAAAUGAUUAAUUAAUAAAUUUUUUAUAAAAUUAAGAGAUGAAUUAAUAAUUUUUUAAAUUAUUAAAAUUUAAUAAUAAAAAAUUUAAGAAUCAAAAUUAAUAAAGAAUUUAUUAAUUUUUUUUAAAAAAAAAUUAGAAGUUAUUCUAAUAUAUUUUUUAAAAAUUAAUAAUUUUUUUCAUAAUAUAAAAAUUAAGUAGUAAAUAUUUUUAAAUAAAAUAAUAGUAAAGGGAAUAUAUUAAUUAGACUACCUAAAAGGAAAAAGCUCACCUUCGCACAGUCACAAGCUUUGCCAAGUAAUAAGCACCACUCCACCAAACCGAAAGCUCAGAGAAAGAGAGAAAUGGGAAUCACUGCCAAGUCCAAGGCCAAGAGCAGCAACGAAAAUUGGGGCAUGGGAUUAUUCUUC